RNAcentral lists this unclassified non-coding RNA (241 nucleotides) under fungal sp. RNAcentral describes it as "partial internal transcribed spacer region". The stretch from base 1 to 46 matches the Rfam family "Eukaryotic small subunit ribosomal RNA", at positions 1786 to 1831 of the family's 1831-position model. RNAcentral also lists the same sequence under 1 other name. The record is from RNAcentral. Lineage: Eukaryota; Fungi.
AAGUCGUAACAAGGUUUCCGUAGGUGAACCUGCGGAAGGAUCAUUAGAAAUAAUCCGGCUUAGCCGGUAUAAAAUUCUACCCACCUUGUGUGCAAACAAUGGAAAAGAGAGAAAAUUGGAUUCUUUUUUUAGGAUCCAACUUCUCUAAAAUUUUUAUAAACUCCAUCAAAUUUUUAAUUGAAAACAUUUUUUUUUAAUAAAAAACAUUAUACAACUUUCAACAACGGAUCUCUUGGCUCUC